UAGUAUGGUUGUGCAGGUUGUGCAGGCUCCAGUUAUUAAGUGAAGACCCUGCAGGUCGUUAAGUGAGGAUCUCGUGUGACUGCAACUUCUGACUUCCUGCCAGUUUUCCCAAUGACUUUGCUUGUGGGAGGUUGGCAGGGGAAGUCACAAAGGUGAUUAUGUGAUCAUAAAAUGAGGACCAGCACUUUUUUUGUCCAUCAAUAUUUCACAGUGAUGGCCAGAUGACUAAAGAAAAAUGAAUC
Molecule: non-coding RNA, 242 nt
Organism: Pseudonaja textilis
Lineage: Eukaryota; Metazoa; Chordata; Lepidosauria; Squamata; Elapidae
Source: RefSeq, a predicted model, not a curated record